GACGAACGCUGGCGGCGUGCUUAACACAUGCAAGUCGAACGGAAAGGCCCUGCUUGCAGGGUACUCGAGUGGCGAACGGGUGAGUAACACGUGGGUGAUCUGCCCUGCACUUCGGGAUAAGCUUGGGAAACUGGGUCUAAUACCGGAUAGGAGCCAUCUUUAGUGUGGUGGUUGGAAAGUUUUUUCGGUGUAGGAUGAGCUCGCGGCCUAUCAGCUUGUUGGUGGGGUAAUGGCCUACCAAGGCGGCGACGGGUAGCCGGCCUGAGAGGGUGUACGGCCACAUUGGGACUGAGAUACGGCCCAGACUCCUACGGGAGGCAGCAGUGGGGAAUAUUGCACAAUGGGUGCAAGCCUGAUGCAGCGACGCCGCGUGGGGGAUGAAGGCCUUCGGGUUGUAAACUCCUUUCGCUAGGGACGAAGCGUUUUUGUGACGGUACCUAGAUAAGAAGCACCGGCUAACUACGUG
Molecule: ribosomal RNA, 466 nt
Filed under: uncultured bacterium
Lineage: Bacteria
Description: partial 16S ribosomal RNA
Rfam family: Bacterial small subunit ribosomal RNA
Source: RNAcentral